GACGAACGCUGGCGGCGUGCCUAAUACAUGCAAGUCGAACGCUUCUUUCCUCCCGAGUGCUUGCACUCAAUUGGAAAGAGGAGUGGCGGACGGGUGAGUAACACGUGGGUAACCUACCCAUCAGAGGGGGAUAACACUUGGAAACAGGUGCUAAUACCGCAUAACAGUUUAUGCCGCAUGGCAUAAGAGUGAAAGGCGCUUUCGGGUGUCGCUGAUGGAUGGACCCGCGGUGCAUUAGCUAGUUGGUGAGGUAACGGCUCACCAAGGCCACGAUGCAUAGCCGACCUGAGAGGGUGAUCGGCCACACUGGGACUGAGACACGGCCCAGACUCCUACGGGAGGCAGCAGUAGGGAAUCUUCGGCAAUGGACGAAAGUCUGACCGAGCAACGCCGCGUGAGUGAAGAAGGUUUUCGGAUCGUAAAACUCUGUUGUUAGAGAAGAACAAGGACGUUAGUAACUGAACGUCCCCUGACGGUAUCUAACCAGAAAGCCACGGCUAACUACGUGCCAGCAGCCGCGGUAAUACGUAGGUGGCAAGCGUUGUCCGGAUUUAUUGGGCGUAAAGCGAGCGCAGGCGGUUUCUUAAGUCUGAUGUGAAAGCCCCCGGCUCAACCGGGGAGGGUCAUUGGAAACUGGGAGACUUGAG
This 647-nucleotide ribosomal RNA is filed under the name uncultured bacterium. Its description in RNAcentral is "bacterial SSU rRNA". It matches the Rfam family "Bacterial small subunit ribosomal RNA", at positions 28 to 646 of the family's 1533-position model. The record is from RNAcentral.